UACGAAGGGGGCGAGCGUUAUUCGGAAUCACUGGGCGUAAAGCGUGCGUAGGCUGUUCAGAAAGUCAGGAGUGAAAGCCCAAGGCUCAACCUUGGAAGUGCUCUUGAAACUUCUGGACUAGAAUUCAGGAGAGGAUAGCGGAAUUCCCAGUGUAGCAGUGAAAUGCGUAGAUAUUGGGAGGAACACCAGUGGCGCAAGCGGCUAUCUGGACCGACAUUGACGCUGAGGCACGAAAGCGUGGGGAUCAAACAGG
This 253-nucleotide ribosomal RNA is filed under the name uncultured bacterium. Its description in RNAcentral is "partial 16S ribosomal RNA". It matches the Rfam family "Bacterial small subunit ribosomal RNA", at positions 524 to 776 of the family's 1533-position model. The record is from RNAcentral.